RNAcentral lists this ribosomal RNA (253 nucleotides) under uncultured bacterium. RNAcentral's name for it is "partial 16S ribosomal RNA". It matches the Rfam family "Bacterial small subunit ribosomal RNA", at positions 524 to 776 of the family's 1533-position model. The record is from RNAcentral.
UACGAAGGGUGCAAGCGUUAAUCGGAAUUACUGGGCGUAAAGGGUGCGUAGGCGGUUUUUUAAGUCUGCCGUGAAAUCCCCGGGCUCAACCUGGGAAUGGCGGUGGAUACUGGAUAGCUAGAGUGUGUCAGAGGAUGGUGGAAUUCCCGGUGUAGCGGUGAAAUGCGUAGAGAUCGGGAGGAACAUCAGUGGCGAAGGCGGCCAUCUGGGACAACACUGACACUCAGGGACGAAAGCUAGGGGAGCGAAUGGG